This 1108-nucleotide ribosomal RNA is filed under the name uncultured eukaryote. RNAcentral's name for it is "bacterial SSU rRNA". It matches the Rfam family "Eukaryotic small subunit ribosomal RNA", at positions 577 to 1799 of the family's 1831-position model. The record is from RNAcentral.
CGGUAAUUCCAGCUCCAAUAGCGUAUAUUAAAGUUGCUGCAGUUAAAACGCUCGUAGUUGUUUUCCAACUAUACGCUUCAUUGCAUUUUGCUAUUGAAGUAAUUAGUUUAGCUGAAACUCUGUUUCGGCCAAAACCUUGAGGAGAGAUUAGUGUUCCAAGCAGUUAAUUUUGUCCUCCCCAGCAUGGUAUUCAACUCAAUUGAGAAGGGUUGUCGAGCCCUUAUCAAACUAAAUAGAAAUUCAGGGAGGUAUACGUACUUUAAUGUCAGAGGUGAAAUUCCUAGAUUUUUAAAAGACGGUCAGUUGCGAAAGCGUUCACCAAGCGACUUUUCAUUGAUCAAGAACGAAAGUUGGGGGAUUGAAGACGAUCAGAUACCGUCGUAAUCUCAACCGUAAACUAUGCCGACUUGUCGCAGGCAGGUAUUUCCUUCUAAUCUGUCGUCGACUUUUGAGAAAUCAAAGUUUUUGGGCUCUGGGGGGAGUAUGAUUGCAAGAUUGAAACUUAAAGGAAUUGACGGAAGGGCACCACCAGGAGUGGAGCUUGCGGCUUAAUUUGACUCAACACGGGAAAUCUCACCAGCCCCACACAUAAAGAGGAUUGACAGUUUGAUAGUUCUUUCUUGAUUCUAUGGUUGGUGGUGCAUGGCCGUUCUUAGUUGGUGGAGUGAUCUGUCUGGUUAAUUCCGAUAACGAACGAGAUCUUAACCUACUAAAUAGGUGCCUUUGGGUUAUCUUCUUAGAGGGACACUUGAUCGUAUAGAUCAAGGAAGUUUGAGGUAAUAACAGGUCUGUGAUGCCCCUAGACGUUCUGGGCUGCACGCGCGCUACAAUAAUACGUACAACAAGUAUUCCAAGCUCGAAAGGGCGAGGUAAUCACUAAAAGGUACUGUAAUGGUUAUAGACCCUUGUAAUUAUUGGUCUUCAACGAGGAAUUCCUAGUAAGUAUGUGUCAUCAUCACGCACUGAUUACGUCCCUGCCCUUUGUACACACCGCCCGUCGCUCCUACCGAUUGGGUGUUCCGAUGAAACUCUCGGACGCAAUGUAGUUCCUAUGUUGGAAAAGAGAUUUGAAUCGUAUCACUUAGAGGAAGGAGAAGUCGUAACAAGG